Molecule: ribosomal RNA, 1783 nt
Filed under: Parasimodera saussurei
Lineage: Eukaryota; Metazoa; Arthropoda; Insecta; Orthoptera; Tettigoniidae
Description: eukaryotic LSU rRNA
Rfam family: Eukaryotic large subunit ribosomal RNA
Source: RNAcentral
ACUUGAAGAGAGAGUUCAAGAGUACGUGAAACCGUUCGGGGUAAACGUGAGAAACCCGAAAGUACAUCAACCGGAGAGAUUCAAGUCUAUCCGUGCUUUGCUCCCUAUACCGCCAGAUGGGUCUGACCUCCCGCACGAUUCAAUUCGGCGUCGGGGUGGCAACAGUUUUUACUCGGCGGUGUGGUGGUGGUGAAGUCGGAGGGCCGCACUUCUCUCCCCGUUGGACGUCGCGACCCGUUGGGUGUCGGUCUAAGGCGAGGGUGUGUAGUCUGUUCGUCCGCACCGCAAGGUGUGUUUGUCGGGCAGACCCCCUUUGUUCCCGGCCGACGGCUCGACGGUAUGUGUGCGUGGAGUUGAUUCGCCGCCCCUCGGGGUGGGCGUCUGACCCUCGGCAAGCGCGAGCGCGCGGCAUGGAUGACGGACCUCUGGCCCGGCUCCUGCCCCGCUCCGCUGUUAGCUCGAGUGUGUUUCGGACGGAAGAAUAUGUACUCCCGUCAGCGGCGCAAAAGCUUCGGGUAAUUUCACGACCCGUCUUGAAACACGGACCAAGGAGUCUAACAUGUGCGCGAGUCAUUGGGUUUGCUCUAAACCUAAAGGCGCAAUGAAAGUGAAGGUUCCGCCUCGUGCGGACCGAGGGAAGAUGGGGCGCGCUCCUGCGCUGCUCCCGCAUUCCCGGGGCGUCUCGUUCUCACUGCGAGUUGAGGCGCACCCAGAGCGUACACGUUGGGACCCGAAAGAUGGUGAACUAUGCCUGGCCAGGACGAAGUCAGGGGAAACCCUGAUGGAGGUCCGUAGCGAUUCUGACGUGCAAAUCGAUCGUCGGAGCUGGGUAUAGGGGCGAAAGACUAAUCGAACCAUCUAGUAGCUGGUUCCCUCCGAAGUUUCCCUCAGGAUAGCUGGUGCUCGAACGAGUCUCAUCCGGUCAAGCGAAUGAUUAGAGGCCUUGGGGCCGAAACGACCUCAACCUAUUCUCAAACUUUAAAUGGGUGAGAUCUCCGGCUUGCUUAAAGCAUUGAAGCCGCGAGAGAAUGAUUUGGAUCGGAGUGCCAAGUGGGCCACUUUUGGUAAGCAGAACUGGCGCUGUGGGAUGAACCAAACGCAGAGUUAAGGCGCCCGAAUAGACGCUCAUGGGAAACCAUGAAAGGCGUUGGUUGCUUAAGACAGCAGGACGGUGGCCAUGGAAGUCGGAAUCCGCUAAGGAGUGUGUAACAACUCACCUGCCGAAGCAACUAGCCCUGAAAAUGGAUGGCGCUGAAGCGUCUUGCCUAUACUCUGCCGUCAGCACGGCAAUGAGGGGUGCGCGGUUUCGCUUCGGCGGGCCCGCCCCGUGAUGCUCUGACGAGUAGGAGGGUCGCGGCGGUGAGCGCAGAAGGGUCUAGGCGUGAGCCUGCCUGGAGCCGCCGUCGGUGCAGAUCUUGGUGGUAGUAGCAAAUACUCCAGCGAGGCCCUGGAGGACUGACGUGGAGAAGGGUUUCGUGUGAACAGCCGUUGCACACGAGUCAGUCGAUCCUAAGCCCUAGGAGAAAUCCGAUGUCGAUGGAGUCCGCGACUGUGGUAAUAGGACUCCAUUGGGCGAAAGGGAAUCCGGUUCCUAUUCCGGAACCCGGCAGCGGAACCGUUCUAUGUCGGGCCCCUCGCAAGAGAAGCUCGUCGGGGUAACCCAACAGGACCCGGAGACGCCGUCGGGAGAUCGGGGAAGAGUUUUCUUUUCUGCAUGAGCGUUCGAGUUCCCUGGAAUCCUCUAGCAGGGAGAUAGGGUUUGGAACGCGAAGAGCACCGCAGU